RNAcentral lists this ribosomal RNA (465 nucleotides) under uncultured Eikenella sp. Its description in RNAcentral is "bacterial SSU rRNA". It matches the Rfam family "Bacterial small subunit ribosomal RNA", at positions 338 to 795 of the family's 1533-position model. Lineage: Bacteria; Pseudomonadati; Pseudomonadota; Betaproteobacteria; Neisseriales; Neisseriaceae. The record is from RNAcentral.
CCUACGGGAGGCUGCAGUGGGGAAUUUUGGACAAUGGGGGCAACCCUGAUCCAGCCAUGCCGCGUGUAUGAAGAAGGCCUUCGGGUUGUAAAGUACUUUUGUUAGGGAAGAAAAGGGAAGUGCUAAUACCACUUUUUGCUGACGGUACCUAAAGAAUAAGCACCGGCUAACUACGUGCCAGCAGCCGCGGUAAUACGUAGGGUGCGAGCGUUAAUCGGAAUUACUGGGCGUAAAGCGAGCGCAGACGGUUAUUUAAGCAGGAUGUGAAAUCCCCGGGCUUAACCUGGGAACUGCGUUCUGAACUGGAUAGCUAGAGUGUGUCAGAGGGGGGUAGAAUUCCACGUGUAGCAGUGAAAUGCGUAGAGAUGUGGAGGAAUACCGAUGGCGAAGGCAGCCCCCUGGGAUAACACUGACGUUCAUGCUCGAAAGCGUGGGUAGCAAACAGGAUUAGAUACCCCUGUAGUC